Molecule: ribosomal RNA, 225 nt
Filed under: uncultured bacterium
Lineage: Bacteria
Description: partial 16S ribosomal RNA
Rfam family: Bacterial small subunit ribosomal RNA
Source: RNAcentral
UAGUGGCGGACGGGUGCGUAACGCGUAAGAACCACCUUUUGAGGGGAUAACAUUGGGAAACUGAUGCUAAUACCCCAUAAUAGCUGAGGAGUGAAAGAAUAAAAUCGCCAAAAGAGGGGCUUGCGUCUGAUUAGCUAGUUGGUGGGGGUAACGGCCUCCCAAGGCCACGAUCAGUAGCUGGUCUGAGAGGAUGAUCAGCCACACUGGGACUGAGACACGGCCCAG